GAAUAGCAGAGGCAGAGAGGUAGGUGAGAGGACAUUGUAAGUAAUUCCUCUCUUUCUCUCUCUCUUUGUCAUUUGAUACCCCAAAAAGAGUUUCACAUGCACCAAUCAAAAUCGGAAUCAAGCGCGAACGAAGGUCUUCGGAAAACUCCGUCACGGCCGGACAAUCAAAAUCUAGGUAUAAAUCCUCAUACUCCAUUAGCUAGGGCAUUUCUAUCCGGUGAGAGUAGUGGUUUAGGGCAGUGAAGAUGGAGAUGAAGAGGCCGGUAGUGAUGGUGGUUGAGGGAUGGAGUGAGGAAGCCGGUAGUGAUGGUUGUUGAGGGAUGGAGAGAGAGAGAGAGCGAGAGAAAGAUGGAGAUGAGGGAGGCCGGUAGUGAUGGUGGUUGAGGGAUGGAGUGAGGAGGCCGGUAGUGAUGGUUGUUGAGGGAUGGAGAGAGAGAGAGAGAGAGUGAGUGAUGAGCGGUAGUGGGAAGACUGAGAGGACUUGGUUCGUUCUCGACCCCUGGUUCUUCCCGGCGCUCUCGGCUCUCUUGCUCCGCCCUCACCGCCCUCACGAUCCCGCCAAUGACGACCAUGAGUGAUGAUGGAGAGAGGACGUGCCCCCUCUGUGCGGAGGAGAUGGACCUCACUGACCAACAACUGAAACCUUGCAAAUGUGGAUAUGAGUUCUCAAUUCGACGGUGUUGUGCUCGAUGUGGAUAGUGGGGGUGUGCGGGAGCCAGUACAGCAGUGCUUGUGGGAUUGUCAGGUGUUGGUUUUCAGGGAAGCACGCCUACUUGGAGGGGAUUCCGACGAGUUGGGGA
Dioscorea cayenensis subsp. rotundata (Guinea yam) is the source of this 800-nucleotide long non-coding RNA. RefSeq lists it as uncharacterized. Lineage: Eukaryota; Viridiplantae; Streptophyta; Magnoliopsida; Dioscoreales; Dioscoreaceae. The transcript has 3 exons. The record is from RefSeq and is a predicted model, not a curated record.